AAUUUAGAGUUUUGUGUAUGGUUUAGGGUUUGGGAUUGAGAUUAGGGUUUAGAGUUUGGGGUUUAGAGUCUAGUGUUUGAGAUUCCUUUUCAAUGUCUUUCGUCUCUUGUAAUAUCUAUAUUUUGGGUUUAGGGUUUAAGGCUUUUGGUUGAGGGUUUUAGGGUUUAGAGUUUAGUUAAUACGGUAAAGGUUUUUGGAUUUAGGGAUUAGAGCUUAUGUUUUAAGGUUUAAGGUAUUAUAGUUUACAUUUUAUGGUUUAUGGGUUUAAGGUUUCAGGGUAUUCAGCUGCUCAAGGUCUUGGGUUUAGGGUUUAGGGUUUUAUCCUUUUUUUAAUUAUAAAAUAACUUUUCUUUUAUAUAUGAAAAAUAAAAGUUAAUUUUUUUACUUUAAUUCAUUAGAAUUUAAUCUUCGUACUUA
RNAcentral lists this long non-coding RNA (417 nucleotides) under Gossypium raimondii (Peruvian cotton). Its description in RNAcentral is "long non-coding RNA (GRAI_LNC010493)". The record is from RNAcentral. Lineage: Eukaryota; Viridiplantae; Streptophyta; Magnoliopsida; Malvales; Malvaceae.